This 1354-nucleotide ribosomal RNA is filed under the name Rahnella aquatilis. Its description in RNAcentral is "bacterial LSU rRNA". It matches the Rfam family "Bacterial large subunit ribosomal RNA", at positions 1597 to 2925 of the family's 2925-position model. The record is from RNAcentral. Lineage: Bacteria; Pseudomonadati; Pseudomonadota; Gammaproteobacteria; Enterobacterales; Yersiniaceae.
AUGCCAUGCUUCCAGGAAAAGCCUCUAAGCUCCAGGUAACACGAAAUCGUACCCCAAACCGACACAGGUGGUCAGGUAGAGAAUACUCAGGCGCUUGAGAGAACUCGGGUGAAGGAACUAGGCAAAAUGGUGCCGUAACUUCGGGAGAAGGCACGCUGGCGCGUAGGUGAAGGGACUUGCUCCCGGAGCUGAAGCCAGUCGAAGAUACCAGCUGGCUGCAACUGUUUAAUAAAAACACAGCACUGUGCAAACACGAAAGUGGACGUAUACGGUGUGACGCCUGCCCGGUGCCGGAAGGUUAAUUGAUGGGGUCAGCCGCAAGGCGAAGCUCUUGAUCGAAGCCCCGGUAAACGGCGGCCGUAACUAUAACGGUCCUAAGGUAGCGAAAUUCCUUGUCGGGUAAGUUCCGACCUGCACGAAUGGCGUAAUGAUGGCCAGGCUGUCUCCACCCGAGACUCAGUGAAAUUGAACUCGCUGUGAAGAUGCAGUGUACCCGCGGCAAGACGGAAAGACCCCGUGAACCUUUACUAUAGCUUGACACUGAACAUUGAGCCUUGAUGUGUAGGAUAGGUGGGAGGCUUUGAAGCGUGGACGCCAGUCUGCGUGGAGCCAACCUUGAAAUACCACCCUUUAAUGUUUGAUGUUCUAACUCGGCCCCGUGAUCCGGGGUGAGGACAGUGUCUGGUGGGUAGUUUGACUGGGGCGGUCUCCUCCUAAAGAGUAACGGAGGAGCACGAAGGUUAGCUAAUCACGGUCGGACAUCGUGAGGUUAGUGCAAUGGCAUAAGCUAGCUUGACUGCGAGAGUGACGGCUCGAGCAGGUACGAAAGUAGGUCAUAGUGAUCCGGUGGUUCUGAAUGGAAGGGCCAUCGCUCAACGGAUAAAAGGUACUCCGGGGAUAACAGGCUGAUACCGCCCAAGAGUUCAUAUCGACGGCGGUGUUUGGCACCUCGAUGUCGGCUCAUCACAUCCUGGGGCUGAAGUAGGUCCCAAGGGUAUGGCUGUUCGCCAUUUAAAGUGGUACGCGAGCUGGGUUUAGAACGUCGUGAGACAGUUCGGUCCCUAUCUGCCGUGGGCGUUGGAAGAUUGAGAGGGGCUGCUCCUAGUACGAGAGGACCGGAGUGGACGCAUCACUGGUGUUCGGGUUGUCAUGCCAAUGGCAUUGCCCGGUAGCUAAAUGCGGAAAAGAUAAGCGCUGAAAGCAUCUAAGCGCGAAACUUGCCUCGAGAUGAGUCUUCCCUGUGGCUUUAAGCCACCUGAAGGGACGUUUAAGACUAAGACGUUGAUAGGCUGGGUGUGUAAGUGCAGCGAUGCAUUGAGCUAACCAGUACUAAUGACCCGAGAGGCUUAACCUU